RNAcentral lists this ribosomal RNA (393 nucleotides) under uncultured bacterium. RNAcentral's name for it is "bacterial SSU rRNA". It matches the Rfam family "Bacterial small subunit ribosomal RNA", at positions 28 to 417 of the family's 1533-position model. The record is from RNAcentral.
GACGAACGCUGGCGGCACGCCUAACACAUGCAAGUCGAGCGGGAACUUCGGUUCUAGCGGCGGACGGGUGAGUAACACGUGAGCAACCUGCCUUUCAGAGGGGGACAACAGUUGGAAACGACUGCUAAUACCGCAUGACAUCCUGCGUUUGGAGACGCGGAGAUCAAAGCCGGGGAUCGCAAGACCUGGCGCUUGGAGAGGGGCCCGCGGCCGAUUAGCUAGUUGGUGAGGUAACGGCUCACCAAGGCGACGAUCGGUAUCCGGCCUGAGAGGGCGGACGGACACACUGGGACUGAGACACGGCCCAGACUCCUACGGGAGGCAGCAGUGGGGGAAUAUUGGACAAUGGGCGCAAGCCUGAUCCAGCCAUGCCGCGUGGGUGGAUGAAGGCCC